CUCAAACCUCCCUAUAAAAUUUUGCUGUCCAGAUGAGAAAGCAGUCUAAGAAUUUAUGAUUAUGUCUUAAGAAAUGACUUAAUUCUGCAUGUAAGCACUCCCAGUAAACAGAUAGAGCGCACAUUUCAACAUACAACAUGAAUCUCUACAUGCCUUUGUGAGGACAAAAUCUUCAUGCUAAUCCAUCCUUCUAUGGGGAACAGCAAAGAAAGGAACAAAGGGUUUGCAGGCUGGCACUGGCCCAGAGACCUCACUUUGAGUAGCACUAAAAAAGUAACAGCUUCAACCUAUGAUGAUGACGCCAGCAGAUAAUCCCUCCACCUUCCACCUCAAGACAGCUGUGUGUGCUAUGAAUGCUCAUUUGAGAGCCACAGAAGAGUAAAGUGGGUAGACUUCGAGGCUGAUAGAAGACACCAAGCCCAUGAUCUGUGUGGCAGGAGUGACAGACUUGCUGGAAGGAUGCAAGGCGGUAGGAAGCGAGGGCAGGCUGGGUGAACCCACGAGUGUCUUAUGGUUCUGAUCAAGUCAAGAGAGAGACAAGGACCAGCAUUUCAAGUGUUACAGACUUCUGCCUCAGAAACCAUCAAUGACCAGAAGAGCCUGGAAGAACACAAGGACACCCCAUGGAUCUCAUGACUUGUCUUCCUCUCACCCACAUAAGAGGUCACGUAAGCCAUUCUCCCCUUUCCCCCCUCUUGUCUUCACACUUCUCCGGAAGUGCUGAACCAUCUUAGGGAUAGAGCCAGGGAGAGCCAAAAGGCUAUCUGAGGGACUAAAAGACUCUAUGCAAAUGAGAAACUGAGUUUUAUUAUGUAAAGAAUGAUUUAGUUUAUUAGAUCAGACUAACUUUCAACCACAUUGGACAUUUACUUUCCCCUUACUGCUCUAGGAUGACCGUCUUGUCCGGUUUCCUAGGACUUUUCUGGUUUUAGCACUGAAAGUCUCACACUCAGAAACCUCUCAGUCCUCAGCAAACUUGGACUUCACCACCUGCACAAAGAGAAGGCAGGAAUUCAUGAAGGAGACCAGUUAAUAACGUAGUAAAUAAAUAAAUUACCACUUCUCUGCACAUCAAAAUUGUAACAUGGGUUACGUUUUGCAGCGCUACUACAAACUAUGCAUUGAGUGACUAUGGGCCAAGCAAUGUCAUAGGCCCUAGUGAUGCAGUAAUAAACAAGACAGAGUUGAUCUCUGCCCUCAUGGCAGCUCUCUACAGCUAUGGAAAGGACUUCCAGCUACUUAAACUUUCUUGUCUCAGGUUAGUAUAUGUUUAAGAGUCAAGCCUGAAAUAGAAAAGGAAAAUAAAUUCUGGAUGUAAAUACCACCUUUCUGUAAAAAUCACUCCCCAAUCCCGUCCUACAGCAUGUUCAUUUGGCACAUUGCUCUAUGCGCUCUAUGUGCACCUUUGCUUGAUGGAAAGUCUAAUCAGCUAUGCGACUGUGACGAUGAAGAAAUCACUAUUUUCAAUAAACGGAGCCAAGACUAUUUUUAAAAACAGUUUUCCUAAGCUUAAUUAUUGUCAGAUACCUUUCUACUGAAAAAAAAAAACUUGCCGUAAAAUCAACAAUUUAUAAGGGUAAGCAACAAAGAAAAAAUUAAUCAUACGUUUAAUCCU
Molecule: long non-coding RNA, 1615 nt
Organism: Equus caballus (horse)
Lineage: Eukaryota; Metazoa; Chordata; Mammalia; Perissodactyla; Equidae
Source: Ensembl